This 3116-nucleotide long non-coding RNA is filed under the name Olea europaea subsp. europaea. The record is from RNAcentral. Lineage: Eukaryota; Viridiplantae; Streptophyta; Magnoliopsida; Lamiales; Oleaceae.
AUUUCAAAUCAGCCCUAUUUUUUUCAUCUUUUCUCAACUCCGCCUCUCACUUGUCUCUCAUCACUUCUUCUCCUGCGAUACUCUUUUCCCCCUUAAUGGUAGUGGACGUCAUUGUCUCUGGAAGCACCACCGCAACCCUUUCGUGGUAAGGAGAACCUCGAUGUACUGGGUCCAGGGGCGGACCUGGGAGGGAUUAUAGGGGCAAUUGACCCUCUAGAUUUUGGGGAAAAAAAUUUCUUCCUUAGCUUUUUUUUAUUAGAAAAUACCCUAUAAAUUUUAUUUUUUACCCCCUGACCCAAGUCGUUUGGGUCCGUCCUAACUGGGUUUGCCCAGAAAACCUACAAUUAAUUGAUCGAUAGUUUGUUAAACGUUCGCCUCAAUUAGCAAAACGAAUGAUCAAAUCGUUGAGGUUCAUCUCCUCUCUCUCUCUCUCUCUCUCCCCCCCCCCCACCCCCCGAGAUCGGCAAGGUGCAAAUCUGCAAUCGAGAAUGAAUUACUGGGUGUAUGGAGAGUGGAAUCCCACCGGGAAGUUACUUCCAGUACUCUCCUUCUGGGGUUCAUGGUUCACUUGAAAGGUCUUCAUCUCUUACAGAUCGUGAAAGGUUUGGACUUUGACUUUCUUUUCUGAUUCCUUUAAUUUCCUUUAGUGUAAUUCAAUUUUUCUAUUUAACAUCAAUGUUUCUGUAUAUCCUUGAGGCUUUAAUCUUUGUUUUUUUGUUGAUGAGUUUAAAUCUGAGCAUAGUCAAAUACGGUUUUAGUAUUGUAUUUUCUGGUCAUUUUUCAACUUUACUCUGUAUCCUCUUGGUUGAAAUGUUUUUAAUUGCCUACAUUAUUUGCAAGUUGCGUGUGGUUUUAUCAUCGAUGACAUCUUCUAAUUCCUUUUACAGGCUAUAUUAUUAUGUGUGUUUACCAUUGAGUCACACUUAAUUUGAUUGUUACCUUAGGUUUAAAUGUUUCAUUUUUAAUUUUAAUUAUAUAUUUAAAAAAAGUAAAUCAGUUAAAAAUGAAUAAGCAGAAAAGAAUAACUGGCAAUUUAUCAUAUAAAACCAAGAAAUACUUUAAGCAAUAUCAGUUGGACCAAUAAUCUGAGUAUAUUCAAAAAGUACAUAAAUUUGGAUCCAAAUUUUGACAGCAGCAUAAUUUUCCUGAAUCUAGAUAUCAUGUAAUCUCACAAAUUACGAAAUAGCCAUGUUUAUGUAUGGUCUCUUUGAAACACCAUGGCAUCAUUACUUCAAGACUGAACAUCUCCUCUUCAUGGUGGCGCCUGCACCAUUAAUAUUGGCCACAAAAAUUCUGAAAAGUGAUUCAGUUUCAUAAUACAAUUUUCUCUUGCAUGAGAGUGCCGACUUCGCUUCCAUGGCGCCGGUGGGCGGUUCAGUGCUUCAGGGAUAGUAUUUGUUUAUUCAGGAGAUUUUGGGGUGCUACAGUACUCUUCGCCGUUGAUAAUUAUGCCAUUUUGAUCAUGUUCAUUCUUGAUCUUUAGCAUUGGGAACUGAAUUUCAAGCCCGAAUUCUUCGUCUGUGGACAUGACUUAAUUUGUGGGAUUUUUGCGGGAUGGUAGAAGAAGGUUUUGGAAGAGGUCGAUUGUGAAACAAUGGCUGAGUUUUACAUCAGUAUAUAAAUAGAGAGAGAGGGGUGGAAUAUAAAGGUAACUGAGAGAAAAAGAAGUGCUGGAUUUUUCUUACAAUUUAUAUAUAAAAUAUUGAACUUUCCUAAAAUGCAAUAUAUAUGUAAAGCAUUUGUCAAAACAUAUUUUUUAAUCUAAUUGUUUGUAUUAGAAGAUUGAUCCGUUUAUAGUUUAAUCAUCCUUAAGGAAUCAGAGAUAGUUUAAUAUUUUAUUGGUUCUUGAACUUUUUAAUUUGCUAUUGCAUUAUCUACCAUUAGAAUGUUGGAUUUGAUAAUUGAAAUAAAUGCCUAUUUGACUUUUUUACUAUAAUUGUAUAAGUUUAAUUCCUUUCCUGUUCAAGAUUUGAUUUUUAGCUAACUAAUCAAUUGACCAUGUGUUUGUUAUCAGUUAUUCAGUGUAACUUUUAUUUUACAACCUUUUUUGUACAUAAAAAUGAUCUCUUUCGAACACAUUGAAUACCGGCUUUAUUGGGAUUGCAGCUUAUCCAAAGGGUGAUUUCGAGCAUCAUUCCCAAUAAAAUUUCUCGAGCUGUGACUUGACCUAUAUUUGAACUCUGAGAUAACCUAGUGGAGCUGAUCUGACUCUAGCUGUAACUUGACCUAUAUUUGAACUCUGAGAUAACCUAGUGGAGCUGAUCUGCAGUUGUAGAUCCGAACUGAUAUCUUGACUGUUCUCACUUAUCAUGUUCCUCAUGCAUUGUUUUUCUUGAUUUUAAGACUCAUGAAUAGAAUAUUUGACCUUUGUACUUCACCAUAUAUAUUUAGCCUGAUUACACUAGUAACUUCUUAUAGAAAGGAAAAGAAUAUUGGCUUGCUACAUACUUUCUUCGAUUGAAUCUACUGACCUAAAAUUAUAAUUAUUAUUAUUUUAUUUGUACUUCAAUUCUUACUUCUAUUUAGAGCUAUCAAUAGAUUGGAUUUUGUUUAUAUACCUGUGAACUUUGAAGGUUAGCUCAUUCUUCAUAGUUUGGACUAGUCUAACAAUAUUUCUCAUUGAGCAUUCCCUAGUAUUUUAGCUGAUAUUAACUCAAUGUUUUUUCACUAUUUUUUAGGCCAAGCAGGAAAGCCUAUGUCAAUAAUGUCUCAGAUAGUUGAGUCAGGUCCUUUAGUAGCUUAUUUUUAAAUGCUUUGUGCUAUAAUAUUAAGAUAUUACAUGUGGUUGCCACAUCUUCCCCGAAAGUAACAAAUGUAAAAAUAAUUGGUAAAUUAAAGGAAGGAAGAUUAUUGUGACUGGUAUUGUCACUGAAGGAACUGAAGUAACUGGAAUAGAUGCUGAUUUGCGUAGGUCAAGCAUGGAAGUUGUCACAGUUGUUCAAUUACCUCUCAUUUUUUGAGAUUUCUUUGUGAAUUGUAUUUGAGAAAUUGUGACAAUUAGAAGCCGUGCUCCCUUUUUAGAUAGUGGUGUAUCACAUUUAAUGUUUUACUAUAUGAUUCAGAAAUUUGUAAUGAAAUUAUCAGAUUUAUGCAAUUUCAAAAUUUGUUCAUUUGGA